RNAcentral lists this ribosomal RNA (377 nucleotides) under uncultured bacterium. RNAcentral's name for it is "bacterial SSU rRNA". It matches the Rfam family "Bacterial small subunit ribosomal RNA", at positions 523 to 898 of the family's 1533-position model. The record is from RNAcentral.
AAACGUAGGAGGCGAGCGUUAUCCGGAUUUACUGGGCGUAAAGCGCGUGCAGGUGGUUUGGUAAGUCGGACGUGAAAGCUCCUGGCUCAACUGGGAGAAGCCGUACGAAACUACCAGACUAGAGGGCAGUAGAGGGAGGUGGAAUUCCGGGUGUAGCGGUGAAAUGCGUAGAUAUCCGGAGGAACACCAGUGGCGAAAGCGGCCUCCUGGGCUGUCCCUGACACUGAGACGCGAAAGCUAGGGUAGCAAACGGGAUUAGAAACCCCGGUAGUCCUAGCUGUAAACGAUGCAGACUUGGUGUUGGCAGUUUAAAUACUGUCGGUGCCGAAGCUAACGCGAUAAGUCUGCCGCCUGGGGACUACGGCCGCAAGGCUAAA